Molecule: ribosomal RNA, 468 nt
Filed under: uncultured bacterium
Lineage: Bacteria
Description: partial 16S ribosomal RNA
Rfam family: Bacterial small subunit ribosomal RNA
Source: RNAcentral
GACGAACGCUGGCGGCGUGCUUAACACAUGCCAGUCGAACGGAAAGGCCCUGCUUUUGUGGGGUGCUCGAGUGGCGAACGGGUGAGUAACACGUGAGUAACCUGCCCUUGACUUUGGGAUAACUUCAGGAAACUGGGGCUAAUACCGGAUAGGAGCUCCUGCUGCAUGGUGGGGGUUGGAAAGUUUCGGCGGUUGGGGAUGGACUCGCGGCUUAUCAGCUUGUUGGUGGGGUAGUGGCUUACCAAGGCUUUGACGGGUAGCCGGCCUGAGAGGGUGACCGGCAAAAUUGGGACUGAGAUACGGCCCAGACUCCUACGGGAGGCAGCAGUGGGGAAUAUUGCACAAUGGGCGGAAGCCUGAUGCAGCAACGCCGCGUGCGGGAUGACGGCCUUCGGGUUGUAAACCGCUUUCGCCUGUGACGAAGCGUGAGUGACGGUAAUGGGUAAAGAAGCACCGGCUAACUACGUG